This 1353-nucleotide ribosomal RNA is filed under the name uncultured bacterium. RNAcentral's name for it is "bacterial SSU rRNA". It matches the Rfam family "Bacterial small subunit ribosomal RNA", at positions 28 to 1381 of the family's 1533-position model. The record is from RNAcentral.
GAUGGACGCUAGCUACAGGCUUAACACAUGCAAGUCGAGGGGCAGCAGGAUCUAGCAAUAGAUUGCUGGCGACCGGCGCACGGGUGAGUAACACGUAUCCAACCUGCCGAUAACUCGGGGAUAGCCUUUCGAAAGAAAGAUUAAUACCCGAUGGUAUAAUCAGACCGCAUGGUUUGAUUAUUAAAGAAUUUCGGUUAUCGAUGGGGAUGCGUUCCAUUAGGCAGUUGGUGAGGUAACGGCUCACCAAACCUUCGAUGGAUAGGGGUUCUGAGAGGAAGGUCCCCCACAUUGGAACUGAGACACGGUCCAAACUCCUACGGGAGGCAGCAGUGAGGAAUAUUGGUCAAUGGACGCGAGUCUGAACCAGCCAAGUAGCGUGAAGGAUGACUGCCCUAUGGGUUGUAAACUUCUUUUAUAUGGGAAUAAAGUUUUCCACGUGUGGAAUUUUGUAUGUACCAUAUGAAUAAGGAUCGGCUAACUCCGUGCCAGCAGCCGCGGUAAUACGGAGGAUCCGAGCGUUAUCCGGAUUUAUUGGGUUUAAAGGGAGCGUAGGUGGACAGUUAAGUCAGUUGUGAAAGUUUGCGGCUCAACCGUAAAAUUGCAGUUGAUACUGGCUGUCUUGAGUACAGUAGAGGUGGGCGGAAUUCGUGGUGUAGCGGUGAAAUGCUUAGAUAUCACGAAGAACUCCGAUUGCGAAGGCAGCUCACUGGACUGCAACUGACACUGAUGCUCGAAAGUGUGGGUAUCAAACAGGAUUAGAUACCCUGGUAGUCCACACAGUAAACGAUGAAUACUCGCUGUUUGCGAUAUACAGUAAGCGGCCAAGCGAAAGCAUUAAGUAUUCCACCUGGGGAGUACGCCGGCAACGGUGAAACUCAAAGGAAUUGACGGGGGCCCGCACAAGCGGAGGAACAUGUGGUUUAAUUCGAUGAUACGCGAGGAACCUUACCCGGGCUUAAAUUGCAUUUGAAUAAUCUGGAAACAGGUUAGCCGCAAGGCAAAUGUGAAGGUGCUGCAUGGUUGUCGUCAGCUCGUGCCGUGAGGUGUCGGCUUAAGUGCCAUAACGAGCGCAACCCUUAUCUUUAGUUACUAACAGGUCAUGCUGAGGACUCUAGAGAGACUGCCGUCGUAAGAUGUGAGGAAGGUGGGGAUGACGUCAAAUCAGCACGGCCCUUACGUCCGGGGCUACACACGUGUUACAAUGGGGGGUACAGAAGGCAGCUACCUGGUGACAGGAUGCUAAUCCCAAAAGCCUCUCUCAGUUCGGAUCGAAGUCUGCAACCCGACUUCGUGAAGCUGGAUUCGCUAGUAAUCGCGCAUCAGCCAUGGCGCGGUGAAUACGUUCCCGGGCCU